UGGUGACAAUGGCAAGGAGGUCACACCUGUUCCCAUGCCGAACACAGAAGUUAAGCUCCUUAGCGCCGAUGGUAGUCGGACUAACGUUCCGCUAGAGUAGGACGUUGCCAGGCA
This 114-nucleotide ribosomal RNA is filed under the name Staphylococcus warneri. The record is from RNAcentral. Lineage: Bacteria; Bacillati; Bacillota; Bacilli; Caryophanales; Staphylococcaceae. RNAcentral also lists the same sequence under 7 other names.